Non-coding RNA from Cucurbita pepo subsp. pepo (vegetable marrow), 974 nucleotides. Lineage: Eukaryota; Viridiplantae; Streptophyta; Magnoliopsida; Cucurbitales; Cucurbitaceae. The record is from RefSeq and is a predicted model, not a curated record.
GCACACCAUUCCACCUCUUCCAAAUGGUAUUAGUUGGGGAUAUUAGAAACAUCCGCUGGUUAGCAAUCUUUUUUAUUGAAAUUUAUUAAGAUUUUCUCGAACAAGUGGGUCUCGAUUAGUACUGCAAUUUUCUAUACAAUCACGAGGGAUUGCGAUUGGUACUUCUAUUUGUUUGUAAUAAAGUACUUCAAACACAAGGAUUGAUUAAAAAGUAAAAGAUUGAUUUAGAGGUCUUAGGUUGAACAAAUAUCUCAAUUGUUCUACAAAUUAUGCAUUUAGUACUCACAGAUAUGCUUUAAGUUGAUGCCUUAUAACUUUGUAUUGAACUUACUCACAUCUUACCUGCAAACUUCAACCUUCUCCUAUUUCUCUAUGCUCUCUUUCAUAUUCCAUGGACAUCCAGCACUCAUCGCACCAACAAAAGACUCCCACCUGAAGCCGGCGGUGCUUUGCCAGUCAUAGGCCACCUCCAUAUACUAAGUACAACCGAGCCAACCGAAAGGAGCAUGACUUUAUGGAUGGGAUGCUCUCUACUAUCAACCACGCCGGAGAGUUGGCUGGUUUUGAUGUCGAGACGGUCACCAAAGCCACUUGUUUGAACGUGAUAUUGGGUGGAAGUGACACUAUAUUGACAACUAUGACAUGGGUUCUUUCUCUACUCCUCAACAACUAAGAAGCAUCGAAGAAGACCCAACUUGAAUCGGAUGAAAAAAUCGGAAGAUCGAGAUAACGUCAACAAUUUACCAUAUCUCCAAGCUAUUGUGAAGGAGACGUUGCAUUUGUAUCCUGUAAUGUCGUUCUUGUUCCCUCAUGAAUCUGUAGAAGAUUGUACGGUUUCAGACUAUCACAUCCCUACGAAGACACGUUUAAUAGUGAAUCUUCAAAAGCUACAAUUAGACCCAAAUGUAUGGGAAAUUCCUUAUGAAUUUCGAGCAUAAAGGUUUUUAAUGAACCACACAAAGUUUGAUAUGAGA